RNAcentral lists this transfer RNA (64 nucleotides) under Aspidiphorus orbiculatus. Its description in RNAcentral is "tRNA-Tyr". Lineage: Eukaryota; Metazoa; Arthropoda; Insecta; Coleoptera; Sphindidae. The record is from RNAcentral.
GGUAAAAUGGCUGAAUUAGGCAGUAAAUUGUAAAUUUACUUAUGAAGAGUAACUUCUUUUACUA